GUUUUGGUGAUGGUGAUGUGUUUGUACAUCUUACUUUACUGAACAUUCUUGCUGCUUACAAUUAUCUCUAUCUAUAAUGAACUUAAUUGGCUCAGUAGUUUCAGUGGAAAAUGUUAGUAAAAAUUUACAAAUUUUAUGAAAAUUGUUUAAAAUUGACUAUAAAGGACAAUAACUCCUUAGGGGGUCAAUUGACCAUUUUGGUCAUGUUUGACUUAAUUUUAGGUCUUACUAUGCUGUACAUUAUUGCUGUUUACAGUUCAUCUCUAUCUAUAAAAAUAUUCAAGAUAAUAACAAAAACAGCAAAAUUUCCCUUAAAUUACAAAUUCAGGGGCAGCAACCCAACAACAGGUUGUCCGAUUCAUCUAAAAAUUUCAGGGCAGAUUGAUAUUGACCUGAUAAACGAUUUGACUCCUUGUCAGAUUUGCUCUAAAUGCUUUGGUUUUUGAGUUAUAAGCCACAAACUGCAUUUUCCCCCUAUGUUCUAUUUUUAGUCAUUGCAGCCUUCUUGGUUGGUUGGCCAGGUCACCGGACAUAUUUUUAAACAAGAUACCCCAAUAAUGAUUGUGGUAAAGUUUUGUUUAAUUUGGCUCAGUAGUUUCAGAGGAGAAUAUUUAUGUAAAAGUUAACAGACGACGGCGGACGACGACGACGAUGACGGACGCAAAGUGAUGAGAAAAGCUCAUGUGGGUUUACAUUUUUUCAUAAAUAAUUAAAUCAUUACUUAUAACAUACCAUUUUCCUUUGUCUAUCUGGUUUUAUAAUAUAUAUUAAUAAUAAUAUAAGUGCACUGGUUACCAAAAAUUCAUAUCUAUAACGUUUCUUGCGUUUAUGAGGUCAUUAUUAAGCAAUAUUUGAUGCACAUUUGUGAACAGUUUCGGAUUCAAACGGGCAAUGACUGAGUUUUUUUUUAAUAAAACCAUACAUGCGAUAGCAGUUGUCAAGUCAUAACUGGAGAUUUGAAAAUUUUCAACUGGAGGUUUGGGUCUCAUAACAGGAUUGUUUUUUUAAAUUCGCCAAAAAGAUUAAUACAAUUAGCUAAGCUAUAUAUUUCGUUUAUGGAAUUACACCCCCCCCCCUUUUUUUCAAAAAUCUAGAAUUUACCGCGUCAAGUGCAUGCACAAAGAUGCUUACAAGUGUAUAUAUACUAAUACCUUGAUGUACAUCUAACAUUACACCCAGCAGAGUUUUCCCUGGUGUAAUUAGUAGUCACCACAGUUAGAUGUCUGACUCUAUAACAGCUUUUAUCAUCUUGAACUUUUCUCACCAACUCAAAGCUAAUCAUCUCUUUCAUAUGAAGUUUUAUUUUCUUUAGAAUUAUGUUUUAUAUUUUUACAAGUAUUAAUUUCAUUGCUCUUAAAAGCUUUUAGAUAACAUUACCAUGGACUAAUUCACAGAGAG
RNAcentral lists this long non-coding RNA (1398 nucleotides) under Mytilus galloprovincialis (Mediterranean mussel). The record is from RNAcentral. Lineage: Eukaryota; Metazoa; Mollusca; Bivalvia; Mytilida; Mytilidae.